GACGAACGCUGGCGGCGUGCCUAAUACAUGCAAGUAGAACGCUGAAGAGAGGAGCUUGCUCUUCUUGGAUGAGUUGCGAACGGGUGAGUAACGCGUAGGUAACCUGCCUUGUAGCGGGGGAUAACUAUUGGAAACGAUAGCUAAUACCGCAUAACAAUGGAUGACACAUGUCAUUUAUUUGAAAGGGGCAAUUGCUCCACUACAAGAUGGACCUGCGUUGUAUUAGCUAGUAGGUGAGGUAAUGGCUCACCUAGGCGACGAUACAUAGCCGACCUGAGAGGGUGAUCGGCCACACUGGGACUGAGACACGGCCCAGACUCCUACGGGAGGCAGCAGUAGGGAAUCUUCGGCAAUGGGGGCAACCCUGACCGAGCAACGCCGCGUGAGUGAAGAAGGUUUUCGGAUCGUAAAGCUCUGUUGUAAGUCAAGAACGGGUGUGAGAGUGGAAAGUUCACACUGUGACGGUAGCUUACCAGAAAGGGACGGCUAACUACGUGCCAGCAGCCGCGGUAAUACGUAGGUCCCGAGCGUUGUCCGGAUUUAUUGGGCGUAAAGCGAGCGCAGGCGGUUUGAUAAGUCUGAAGUUAAAGGCUGUGGCUCAACCAUAGUUCGCUUUGGAAACUGUCAAACUUGAGUGCAGAAGGGGAGAGUGGAAUUCCAUGUGUAGCGGUGAAAUGCGUAGAUAUAUGGAGGAACACCGGUGGCGAAAGCUGCUCUCUGGUCUGUAACUGACGCUGAGGCUCGAAAGCGUGGGGAGCGAACAGGAUUAGAUACCCUGGUAGUCCACGCCGUAAACGAUGAGUGCUAGGUGUUGGAUCCUUUCCGGGAUUCAGUGCCGCAGCUAACGCAUUAAGCACUCCGCCUGGGGAGUACGACCGCAAGGUUGAAACUCAAAGGAAUUGACGGGGGCCCGCACAAGCGGUGGAGCAUGUGGUUUAAUUCGAAGCAACGCGAAGAACCUUACCAGGUCUUGACAUCCCGAUGCUAUUUCUAGAGAUAGAAAGUUACUUCGGUACAUCGGUGACAGGUGGUGCAUGGUUGUCGUCAGCUCGUGUCGUGAGAUGUUGGGUUAAGUCCCGCAACGAGCGCAACCCCUAUUGUUAGUUGCCAUCAUUCAGUUGGGCACUCUAGCGAGACUGCCGGUAAUAAACCGGAGGAAGGUGGGGAUGACGUCAAAUCAUCAUGCCCCUUAUGACCUGGGCUACACACGUGCUACAAUGGUUGGUACAACGAGUUGCGAGUCGGUGACGGCGAGCUAACCUCUUAAAGCCAAUCUCAGUUCGGAUUGUAGGCUGCAACUCGCCUACAUGAAGUCGGAAUCGCUAGUAAUCGCGGAUCAGCACGCCGCGGUGAAUACGUUCCCGGGCCU
This 1369-nucleotide ribosomal RNA is filed under the name uncultured bacterium. RNAcentral's name for it is "bacterial SSU rRNA". It matches the Rfam family "Bacterial small subunit ribosomal RNA", at positions 28 to 1381 of the family's 1533-position model. The record is from RNAcentral.